CGUGGGGACCAGAGGGGAGUAGGCCGCCGGCCAGUAAAGGAGAGAGAGAAAAAAAAUAUGAACCGAUAAAAUGGCAACGAAAUACGAACGAAUCCCGAACACAAAAUCCGAACCACGCGUGACACGCGGAAGAGCGAUCUGGCCCAUUCGGUGCUCGGCACAAAAACCUCCGAUGGGUGGUUGGCGCCUGUUUUAGAAAAUCCGAACCGCUCCGAGAUGAUUGAAUGACGAUGCUGCUCACGUUGAUGAUGAUGAUGAUGAUGAUGAUGUUGGAGCAGCAGUUUUCCAGCGCAGUUUCGCAGUGUAUAGAGCAUCGUGGACGACCGUACAACCAGUCAGUCAGCUGCCGGCAGUCAGCGUGUGCACAACACCACCGGUCAUCAUCGUCGUGUGGUUGUCCUCUCCCCCGGGGGGAAGAAUAUACGCCACGACCGCAGCACCAACCACACUCGAAGUUUUGUUCCUCAGUUGCUCAGUGAUCGGUGUGAAGUACAUUUGAUUGGAUUCGUGACCCGGACUGUGACACGUCAUUUACACCACGUUCGUCACGCACGCAUCGCAACCCCGUUAGCGCCAAAUGACUUUACGGUAACGGAUGUGUAUUCAAAAACUGCGUAUUCCCCCACACAGCACGUUCGACGGGCAAUGUAUUGCUUGAAACGUGUCCUGCCAAACGGCGUGUAGUGCCCUAACAUUCCGUCAGAUUCAUCCAUCGUGAUCACAAGUUGCUCUUGAUUUUUUUUGUUCUUCUUCUGUUUGCUGGAUUUAUUCCACGCUCUGUAGCUCUGACCAAGUGGGCGAGUAUCGGUGUAAGAAGGGAUAGUGAGAUUUCUCAUUACAAAUCUCGAGUGUGCUAUAGUGAAGCGAACAACCAAAUAAAAAAAAACACUCCCUCCCAAAUCUACAUACCCGAGUACGUCCGCGAGUACGAUUAAGUGAAAGUGGAGGAAGAAUAAAAAAGGCAAACCCAAAGCCGAAAGUGAGAAAGUGGCCGGGAAAAAAGGGGUUUUUGCAACAACGAAAAAAAAGUUGUACCUCAAAGUCAGCUAUCCUUGAUAUGGACGAAACGCGAGCAUUGCGUGUGAACCCCGUGCAGUAGACAACGAACAAAAGUGUGAAGAUAGUCAGCAACAUUUGCAAAAAAAAAAUAAAACAAAAAAAAAAUGUUUCGCUGGUCAAUUGCAGUGCAAGCACCCACAACGGUGUAAGUGCACCGAAACGAACCCCGUUGCGGACUUCAUUUGCAGACGUGUGCGAAACGAAAAAGUACAAUUCUGGGAGGGGAAAAAAAGAGAGAUCAAGUCUGUAAUAGUGCAAGUAACAAAAAAAAAGUAUAGUUAACCUGAAGGGUGUAAUCAAAAGAAGAAAAAAAAUUAUUCCCACACACACAAAAAAACACACACAACGAACGAUCGUGUCCAUUAGGGUAGCUUUCUUUACGAGUUCUAUGAUACAGGAUUCGCGGGACCAGUAGUAGUUGUGCCGCCAACGAAUGGAUAAAGUCGAUCCGAUGCAUACAGGGAUGUAUCAUACCCGCUGAACUUCUGGACUUUCAGUAAUUGAAGGUGACUCAAACCAGUGUGGAAAGUCUAGACGCAAAACGCAAGCAGCAAAACCACUCCGAUAGCGUCGAUAAACAAGAAGGACCUACUUUACCUCAAAGUGUUACCGUGAUUGCAUCGUAUCGUAAAGUUUUGCAGAAAUCACUCACCCAGAAGUAGUGAGUCAGUCAGCGGGUCCUAACUAACUCUAACACCCUUAGCAACUGACCACUAGCUGCAGAGACCGAACCGGGUUUGGAAGGACAACCGUCGUACAGUGUGAACACCAGCCACGAAGUGUGUGUGUGUUCCAAAAAUUCCAUAGAUAUGGUCCGCCAUGGUGUCAACAAUCGGUGGCCCUUCUACUGUCGCUGCUGCUGCUGCUGCCGCUGUUGCCGGUGCUGCGGGUGCGGCAACCACCAUUAGCACCGCUACUGAUGCGACACAACUGUUCAUCAACACAACGCUUGACUCAUGUGCCCUUAAAUAUGAAGAGUUCGUUAUACCGACUACAGUUCCUUACUGCAACUGGACCUGGGAUAGCAUACUAUGUUGGCCACCAACGCCAGCCAAUUUGACAAUAAGACAGCGAUGCCCUUCAGGACACGGAAUCGAUACCUCAAAGUUUGCCGAACGACGAUGCAGUGCCGAGGGGCAAUGGGAAGGCAGACCGGGCUCACCGCCAAACCUUCACGGAUGGACCAACUAUACGCCCUGCUACAGCCCGGAAGUUAUACAACUGUUUAGAAAGCUUUACGCCGGCGGUAGCGAUGAUGAAGCGAAUGACAAGAUCGACAUUGCCGAGCGGACGCGUACACUGGAAACGGUGGGAUUUAGUCUUUCACUAGUAGCGCUAAUCAUUUCGUUAGUAAUAUUUUGUAAAUUUCGCGGUCUUCGCAACAACCGGACGAGAAUACACAAAAAUCUGUUCGUUGCCAUGGUGAUACAGGUGGUGAUCCGCCUAACCUUAUACAUCGACCAAGCGAUCAUCCGGAGCGGUGGCAAAAAGUUCGGCAACGAAAGCUCCCGGCAAGGAAUCGAUAACACGCCGUUCCUUUGUGAAGCGUCGUACGUGCUGCUGGAGUACGCCAGGACCUGCAUGUUUAUGUGGAUGUUUAUAGAGGGAUUAUAUUUACACAACGUAGUAACGGUGACAGUAUUUCAGGGACGGUUUCCACAUACGCUUUACGCCAUCGUGGGCUGGGGUGGCCCGGUCGUACUGACCGUCAUCUGGGCCAUCACCACCGCGCACUACAUCCGGCAGCAGAAAUGCUGGUGGGGUUACAACUUGACGCCUUAUUACUGGAUUUUGGAAGGUCCAAGACUAGCAGUAGUCGUGUUGAAUUUUAUAUUUUUACUUAAUAUUAUAAGAGUACUGAUCGUGAAGCUGCGCCAAAGCCACACGAGCGAUGUGGAACAGGUACGGAAAGCGGUCCGUGCAGCGGUCGUCCUUGUGCCAUUGCUAGGAAUUACCAACAUACUCAACAUGACCCAAGCGCCCCUUGAUAAGACGGCACUCGAGUUUGCUAUCUGGUCCUACGUGACACAUUUUCUCACCUCCUUCCAAGGGUUCUUCAUCGCACUGCUCUAUUGCUUCCUGAAUGGCGAGGUACGGACAGCCCUGAUGAAAAGUAUCAGUGUGUAUCUUUCACUUCGCGGCCAUCAUGAUUGGGCGGUACGGAGGCAAUCGCUAUUUUCCGCCGGUUAUCCCACGGUACCGGUCAAUGAGGCACCGCACGCAACAGACACAAAUCGCAACACCAACAGAAAUGCCGCCAGCAACAAUCUGCUGGCAAGUGCCAACAAUCAUACCGCCAACGGUGGCAUGGCCAGCAGCAGCAGCGCGAAUGGUUUCCGUUGUGGCUGGUUUAGCCGCUGCUUUUUAGUACAAAAACAUACCAACCCGUCCGCACCGGAGCCUGCCCCACCCGAGUCAGUUGUAUUCGACAUUUCCGACUAGCAGUCGCCCUUGCUCUUCGUUCUUGUGUUUUGUUCGGUUUUUAGUUCUCUCUUAUCUUAACCAGCGUGUGAUGGCGGCUGUCGGAGCACGUGCGAUGUACACCGAUCCAUGAGACUAUAAGAAACUAGUAAAGCUUUACCUGGCUGACUGUGCGUCAACCGGAAACCGGAACUGCUAUCAGGGUAGCGCACCAAUGCGAACGAUUGGCCCAGCAAUCGGCAGAGAUGAUAAAAGAAAAAAAAACACACACACGCAAAUUAAAGAAAACAACAGCAAACAAAUACGCAUGAUUUUACAUAAAGCUGUCGAUUGUUCUGCGCAAAACUUUAUGUUAAGCUUCGUCACUGUUUUACGAAAGGAAAGGAAACAGCAGCUCCACGCGUAUCAAAUUAUUACGUGCCGUACGAAUCGAAUUUAAGGGAAAGGAGAGAAAGGAAAUGUUAAAUAGAUAGGUUGAAGGCUUUCAAAGAAAUUAUCAAAUAACAGGAAAUGGUAAAAACAUGUUGCUCGCUCGUUUGAUAUACAAAAAUGAUAUAUAAAUGCAUACAUAUACAUACAUAUAUAUAUAUACUAUAUUUUAUCCGGAUAACAAAAGUUGAGGCUGCAGAACAAGAAGCUAUUAAUAAUGUCGAUUGUUUUUUGUCGAUUUCGUAACUGUUGUAACGAUGUAAAAAGGUCGUAAACGGACAAGCGGAGGAAGCUGUAUUCGUGCAAGUAAUGCCAAAACCAGCAGCACAACACUACGUCAAUAUCACCGGCAUCAAUUUGCCGGGCGAUGAACAGUUUAGAUUGAUUUAUGUGUAACACAAAAUGGCAAGCCAAGCGAACGAAUAAAUGCAAUGUUGUCUGUUUUUGUACAAAACAACUAAAA
This is an RNA transcript of Anopheles funestus (African malaria mosquito), 4372 nucleotides long. It is a transcript of the gene named PDF receptor, with no coding region annotated. The record is from RefSeq and is a predicted model, not a curated record. The transcript is spliced from 12 exons. NCBI's taxonomy places the organism in Eukaryota, Metazoa, Arthropoda, Insecta, Diptera, Culicidae.